UACGUAGGGUCCGAGCGUUGUCCGGAGUUACUGGGCGUAAAGCGCGCGCAGGUGGCGUCGCAAGUCUGGCGUGAAAGCCCCCGGCUCAACCGGGGAGGGUCGUCGGAUACUGCGGUGCUUGAGGGAGGCAGGGGUCGGUGGAAUGCCCGGUGUAGUGGUGAAAUGCGUAGAGAUCGGGCGGAACACCCGUGGCGAAGGCGGCCGACUGGGCCUAACCUGACACUGAGGCGCGAAGGCGUGGGGAGCGAACGGG
Molecule: ribosomal RNA, 253 nt
Filed under: uncultured bacterium
Lineage: Bacteria
Description: partial 16S ribosomal RNA
Rfam family: Bacterial small subunit ribosomal RNA
Source: RNAcentral